AGGGGAGCAUUCUGAAAGAUCGUUUCAAGAGCCUGCAGAAACGCAAUCUCAUAGAACCCCGGGAGCGUGCCAAGUUCAAGAGGAAAUACCGCGUGAAAUACGUCGAAAAGCGGGCCUUCCGGGCGAUCACGUUAUAGAGGACGGAUCACACCACGACAUUCCGGGGACACCUCUACCGCUUUUCUGUUUCAUUAAAAAAA
This is a long non-coding RNA of Gekko japonicus, 200 nucleotides long. RefSeq lists it as uncharacterized. The transcript is spliced from 3 exons. NCBI's taxonomy places the organism in Eukaryota, Metazoa, Chordata, Lepidosauria, Squamata, Gekkonidae. The record is from RefSeq and is a predicted model, not a curated record.